Molecule: unclassified non-coding RNA, 378 nt
Filed under: plant metagenome
Description: partial contains 5.8S ribosomal RNA, internal transcribed spacer 2, and large subunit ribosomal RNA
Rfam family: 5.8S ribosomal RNA (bases 1-105)
Source: RNAcentral
GAAAUGCGAUAAGUAAUGUGAAUUGCAGAGUUCAGUGAAUCAUCGAAUCUUUGAACGCACUUUGCGCUCCUUGGUAUUCCUUGGAGCAUGCCUGUUUGAGUAUCAUGAAAUCUUCAAAGUAAAUCUUUUGUUAACUCAAUUGGUUUCUACUUUGGUAUUGGAGGUCUUUGCAGCUUCACACCUGCUCCUCUUUGUUCAUUAGCUGGAUCUCAGUGUUAUGCUUGGUUCCACUCGGCGUGAUAAGUUAUCUAUCGCUGAGGACACUGUAAAAGGUGGCCAAGGUAAAUGCAGAUGAACCGCUUCUAAUAGUCCAUUGACUUGGACAAUACUUUUAUGAUCUGAUCUCAAAUCAGGUAGGACUACCCGCUGAACUUAAGC